RNAcentral lists this microRNA (23 nucleotides) under Mus musculus (house mouse). Its description in RNAcentral is "mmu-miR-6339". The record is from miRBase by way of RNAcentral. Lineage: Eukaryota; Metazoa; Chordata; Mammalia; Rodentia; Muridae.
GAUGCCUUUGUCCUCAGUGUUAG